UACGUAGGUGGCAAGCGUUGUCCGGAUUUAUUGGGUUUAAAGGGUGCGUAGGCGGCCCUGUAAGUCAGUGGUGAAAUACUCCAGCUUAACUGGAGGGGUGCCAUUGAUACCGCAGGGCUUGAGUGGAGUCGAAGUAGGCGGAAUUGACGGUGUAGCGGUGAAAUGCUUAGAUAUCGUCAAGAACACCGAUAGUGAAGACAGUUUACUAGGCUUCUACUGACGCUGAGGCACGAAAGUGUGGGGAGCAAACAGG
RNAcentral lists this ribosomal RNA (253 nucleotides) under uncultured bacterium. RNAcentral describes it as "partial 16S ribosomal RNA". It matches the Rfam family "Bacterial small subunit ribosomal RNA", at positions 524 to 776 of the family's 1533-position model. The record is from RNAcentral.